CUGCGAUGAUGUUGUUUCUUAGGACACCUUUGGAUUAAUCAUGAAAACAAUUACUCUCUGAGCAGC
This is a small nucleolar RNA of Camelus dromedarius (Arabian camel), 66 nucleotides long. Its record names the gene SNORD58. It matches the Rfam family "Small nucleolar RNA SNORD58". From Rfam's summary of the family: snoRNA U58 is found in introns 1, 3 and 6 of the ribosomal protein RPL17 gene in humans. U58 is a member of the C/D class of snoRNA which contain C (UGAUGA) and D (CUGA) box motifs. Most of the members of the box C/D family function in directing site-specific 2'-O-methylation of substrate RNAs. The record is from Ensembl. Lineage: Eukaryota; Metazoa; Chordata; Mammalia; Artiodactyla; Camelidae.